UACGUAGGGGGCUAGCGUUGUCCGGAAUCAUUGGGCGUAAAGAGCUUGUAGGCGGUUUGUCGCGUCUGCUGUGAAAUUCCGGGGCUCAACUCCGGACUUGCAGUGGGUACGGGCAGGCUAGAGUGUGGUAGGGGAGACUGGAAUUCCUGGUGUAGCGGUGAAAUGCGCAGAUAUCAGGAAGAACACCCGUGGCGAAGGCGGCUCUCUGGAACGCAACUGACGCUGAGACGCGAAAGCGUGGGGAGCAAACAGG
This 253-nucleotide ribosomal RNA is filed under the name uncultured bacterium. RNAcentral describes it as "partial 16S ribosomal RNA". It matches the Rfam family "Bacterial small subunit ribosomal RNA", at positions 524 to 776 of the family's 1533-position model. The record is from RNAcentral.